RNAcentral lists this ribosomal RNA (468 nucleotides) under uncultured bacterium. RNAcentral describes it as "partial 16S ribosomal RNA". It matches the Rfam family "Bacterial small subunit ribosomal RNA", at positions 28 to 507 of the family's 1533-position model. The record is from RNAcentral.
GACGAACGCUGGCGGCGUGCUUAACACAUGCAAGUCGAACGGAAAGGCCCUGCUUGUGUGGGGUGCUCGAGUGGCGAACGGGUGAGUAACACGUGAGUAACCUGCCCUUGACUUUGGGAUAACUUCAGGAAACUGGGGCUAAUACCGGAUAGGAGCUCCUGCUGCAUGGUGGGGGUUGGAAAGUUUCGGCGGUUGGGGAUGGACUCGCGGCUUAUCAGCUGGUUGGUGGGGUAGUGGCUUACCAAGGCUUUGACGGGUAGCCGGCCUGAGAGGGUGACCGGCCACAUUGGGACUGCGAUACGGCCCAGACUCCUACGGGAGGCAGCAGUGGGGAAUAUUGCCCAAUGGGCGGAAGCCUGAUGCAGCAACGCCGCGUGCGGGAUGACGGCCUUCGGGUUGUAAACCGCUUUCGCCUGUGACGAAGCGUGAGUGACGGUAAUGGGUAAAGAAGCACCGGCUAACUACGUG